This 490-nucleotide ribosomal RNA is filed under the name uncultured bacterium. RNAcentral's name for it is "partial 16S ribosomal RNA". It matches the Rfam family "Bacterial small subunit ribosomal RNA", at positions 30 to 507 of the family's 1533-position model. The record is from RNAcentral.
AUUGAACGCUGGCGGCAGGCCUAACACAUGCAAGUCGAACGGUAACAGGAAGCAGCUUGCUGCUUUGCUGACGAGUGGCGGACGGGUGAGUAAUGUCUGGGAAACUGCCCGAUGGAGGGGGAUAACUACUGGAAACGGUAGCUAAUACCGCAUAACGUCGCAAGACCAAAGAGGGGGACCUUAGGGCCUCUUGCCAUCGGAUGUGCCCAGAUGGGAUUAGCUAGUAGGUGGGGUAACGGCUCACCUAGGCGACGAUCCCUAGCUGGUCUGAGAGGAUGACCAGCCACACUGGAACUGAGACACGGUCCAGACUCCUACGGGAGGCAGCAGUGGGGAAUAUUGCACAAUGGGCGCAAGCCUGAUGCAGCCAUGCCGCGUGUAUGAAGAAGGCCUUCGGGUUGUAAGGUACUUUCAGCGGGGAGGAAGGGAGUAAAGUUAAUACCUUUGCUCAUUGACGUUACCCGCAGAAGAAGCACCGGCUAACUCCGUG